GUCAGAUGAACGCUGGCGGCAUGCCUUACACAUGCAAGUCGAACGGCAGCACGGGAGCAAUCCUGGUGGCGAGUGGCGAACGGGUGAGUAAUACAUCGGAACGUGUCCUGUAGUGGGGGAUAGCCCGGCGAAAGCCGGAUUAAUACCGCAUACGCUCUACGGAGGAAAGGGGGGGAUCUUAGGACCUCCCGCUACAGGGGCGGCCGAUGGCAGAUUAGCUAGUUGGUGGGGUAAAGGCCUACCAAGGCGACGAUCUGUAGCUGGUCUGAGAGGACGACCAGCCACACUGGGACUGAGACACGGCCCAGACUCCUACGGGAGGCAGCAGUGGGGAAUUUUGGACAAUGGGGGAAACCCUGAUCCAGCAAUGCCGCGUGUGUGAAGAAGGCCUUCGGGUUGUAAAGCACUUUUGUCCGGAAAGAAAACCUCUGGGUUAAUACCCCGGGGGGAUGACGGUACCGGAAGAAUAAGCACCGGCUAACUACGUGCCAGCAGCCGCGGUAAUACGUAGGGUGCAAGCGUUAAUCGGAAUUACUGGGCGUAAAGCGUGCGCAGGCGGUCCGCUAAGACAGAUGUGAAAUCCCCGGGCUUAACCUGGGAACUGCAUUUGUGACUGGCGGGCUAGAGUAUGGCAGAGGGGGGUAGAAUUCCACGUGUAGCAGUGAAAUGCGUAGAGAUGUGGAGGAAUACCGAUGGCGAAGGCAGCCCCCUGGGCCAAUACUGACGCUCAUGCACGAAAGCGUGGGGAGCAAACAGGAUUAGAUACCCUGGUAGUCCACGCCCUAAACGAUGUCAACUAGUUGUCGGGUCUUCAUUGACUUGGUAACGUAGCUAACGCGUGAAGUGACCGCC
Molecule: ribosomal RNA, 852 nt
Filed under: Paraburkholderia sp.
Lineage: Bacteria; Pseudomonadati; Pseudomonadota; Betaproteobacteria; Burkholderiales; Burkholderiaceae
Description: bacterial SSU rRNA
Rfam family: Bacterial small subunit ribosomal RNA
Source: RNAcentral